Homo sapiens (human) is the source of this 2796-nucleotide long non-coding RNA. RefSeq annotates it as CFAP20DC divergent transcript. NCBI's taxonomy places the organism in Eukaryota, Metazoa, Chordata, Mammalia, Primates, Hominidae. The transcript has 7 exons. The record is from RefSeq and is a predicted model, not a curated record.
GUGUUUUGGGGAGCAGUGCUAAGAAAGACUCCCCACCCUUAGUGAGAAGAGAAUAAUACUGACAGGGGCUUGUCAUCUUGAGUAGGCUGCAAACUUUGAAGAGGAAAUAGCAUAGAUUUGCCACGGAUAAUGGAAGGAACAACUGACUUUCCUCUAGAGGAUUUGAACUGGAGGAGGCUUGAAGUUGAACAAUGGAACUCUCAGUACCAACUUCCCUUUACAGUCUGAUCUCAGAAAUCUGACAGCCAGUUGUAUUCCCCCAGACCCUCUACCUUCACCUGUAAGUCUAAGUGGCAGGAAUUUCGCAACUCCAAAAAGUGAUGCCGAAAAAUAUUGGAGCAAUGUCUUCAAAAUUGUAAGAGUAUACACCCAACUAAACUGUUGACAAGUAGCAUAAAGGGUAGAAUAAAGAUUUUUCCCUGGCCAGGUGUGGUAGCUCACACCUGUGAUCCCAGAACUUUGGGAGACCAAGGCUGGAAGAUUGCUUGAGCCGAGGAGUUUGGGACCAGCCUGGGCAACAUAGGAAGAUUCUGUCUCCACAAAAUUUUAAAAAAUUAGCUGAGCGUGGUGGCAUGCGCCUGUGGUCCCAGCUACUCAUAGGGUGAGGCGUGAGGAUCGCUUUAAUCCGGGAAGUCAAAGUUGCAGUGAGCCAGGAUGGUGCCACUGCACUCCAGCCUGGGUGACAGAGUAAGACCUUGUCUAAAAAAAAAAAAAAACGUAUUUAUCAACUAUGGAAGUCCUCAAAACAUUUGCCUUCUUAGGAAGCAAGUAGAAGAUAUACUUUAACCAAAAUAAGGGGAUAAACCAAGAAUCAUAAGGACACUGAAUUCAGGAAACAGGGAUUAGAACACGGGAGACCUGCAAAAGGAUAUUCAGGAUGCAACUACACAAUCAGGCCUAGAACGCAGCUGACAGAGAUCGAUCGGGACACGGGGGCUCAGGAUGGAGGACUGUAGGUUAAAAAAAAAAUGGAACUCAUGUAUCUUCUGAGUUUUUGAAUCUUAUGUGCAUUCAGAAACCUACAAAGAGUCUGUACUGAGGUUGUCCCACAUGGCAGUUUCAGGCGCAAUUCUUCUGGAGAUGACAAAGGGCAGGAAGGUGCUUCAGAUUCAUGUUUCCAUGUGAUGUUUUUCUUCCAUCUGAAAAACUACUUUUUGUGAGAGGAAGACAUGAUGGCAGGUCUAGCUGUCAAGCUGCUUGGAUGGCCUUGGAGUCAGGAGAAGAGAAGAUUGGCCUCAGACACUUCCGUCUUCAGACCUGUGCCUCUCCUUUGAGGAUCCCUUCCCCGAAGCUGCCAAGGAGAACCUUCCCUCACAUUGUUCCUCCUUUGUUCCCCGCUCUCCUUUUCCAGGCUGAGAGACCUGGGGCCUUGGAAGCAAGCACACGCUGGCUGAGCUGUGAUUCCUCCAUGUUGAUUAUAAUUUUUAUCACAUUAUAUGGGAUCCCUCUGGUGGUUACUAGGGGAUACGUCAGUUUUGAGAGAUUGGAACCUAACCAAAGAAGCUUCAAAUCUAGAGGAUAAGGGGACUCAGAGUUUACAAGUCACAGCAAGCAGAUGCUGGUCUGCUUUAGGUGCCUCUUACGGGGAUUGUGAGAGGGCUCCUGGGGCCUGAGGAGGGUCUUCUGAGGUGUGAAAGGCUGUACUGGUGGUCCCUGAAAGCCAUCGUCAUUUGUGUGAGGAGGAGUACUGGAGGAGCUGUCUUACCACAUGAAAAACAGCAUGGAGCAUCCCAGCCACAUCAAAGGCACGGUUUGAGCCUUGGGCUGUAGAGGCUCAGAGAGAGUGACAAAUAAGACCCUGGUGAGAGACCAAUGGGGACAGUAUUUCCAGACUUUGGCAUGAAACAGAUUUCUGAGCACCUCAUGAAAUGUCUGCAAGGGCAGCUCCUCAGAGUGACCCUCCCAAAUCAAUCAAAGCUGGCCCCCUAUCUUAAUUAUGACUUACAAAUAGAAGCAUGCACCUGGCUGGAUGCAGUUUGCCACAUGGUUUACAAUAGCGGUAGAAUAAGAAAUAACUUACCAAACGAGUACAUUUUCUUGGCUGGCUGGGGCACUCAGAGUUGACACUGGUAAGGCUCCAUUAAAAUGCCUUUAUGUUCUGAUAUACACAGAUGUGUUAAUUUAUAGCAUAUUCAUCAGAAGACAUAAAUUAAUUGCUCUCUGAUGAAUUUUAUAACACCUCCUUUAUGCCUCUCCACCCUCCCCCUCCAAAGUACACUGAAAAGGUCAACAGCACUAUCGAAUGCAGCACACUUCAACUUCCUUCCAAGCUUAUAAUUAAAGCUAAUUAGUAGCUUUGGUAAUUAGCGCAUGUAAGCUUUCUGCUUUCUGAAUUAAUAAGACUGAGUCAGGUUUUGAGCCAAGUAGACUUUUCACUCACUGGUUCUGAUUCUUGAACUGUGUUUGGCUGGUUAAUUUAAAACAUGUCUGUUGAAAGUGGAAUACUAGAAAGAAAACAUACUUGUGAUGGUCUGCUCUCAAGCCAGUGUGAUUUAUGAACAGGCCAAAGUGGAACUGUUGUCACAAGAGAAAAUCAGAAUGCUCUGGGUUUCCAAUAACUGACCAGUCUCAACCUCUCAGUGUGAAAUGAGUUGUGCCCAGUUACUAUGUCACAUGGACACAACACAACGUCAAGGAUGCCCUUGCACACUUAUGUCACCCUCUCAUAACACAUCUGUACUAAGCACAUCAAAUCCUCUUUAUUUUAGGAGAAUGCAGAGGCAAUGGCAGUGGGGUGCCAAGAUAUAACUAACUGCUCAUUUUGAUUCAAAUAAAAAUCAAAGAGGAGAAAAAUCA